This 428-nucleotide ribosomal RNA is filed under the name uncultured prokaryote. Its description in RNAcentral is "bacterial SSU rRNA". It matches the Rfam family "Bacterial small subunit ribosomal RNA", at positions 355 to 774 of the family's 1533-position model. The record is from RNAcentral.
UGGGGAAUAUUGGGCAAUGGGCGCAAGCCUGACCCAGCGACGCCGCGUGGGUGAUGAAGGCCUUCGGGUUGUAAAGCCCUGUCAUGCGGGAAGAACGGCUCCAUGGUUAAUACCCAUGGGGAUUGACGGUACCGCAGGAGGAAGCACCGGCUAACUCCGUGCCAGCAGCCGCGGUAAUACGGAGGGUGCUAGCGUUGUUCGGAAUUAUUGGGCGUAAAGGGCGCGUAGGCGGUUGUGUAAGUCAGAUGUGAAAUACUUCGGCUCAACUGAAGAACUGCAUUUGAUACUACAUAGCUAGAGUACAGAAGAGGGAAAUGGAAUUCCCGGUGUAGAGGUGAAAUUCGUAGAUAUCGGGAGGAACACCAGUGGCGAAGGCGAUUUCCUGGUCUGAUACUGACGCUGAGGCGCGAAAGCGUGGGGAGCAAACA